AACGAACGCUGGCGGCACGCCUAACACAUGCAAGUCGAACGAGACCUUCGGGUCUAGUGGCGCACGGGUGCGUAACGCGUGGGAAUCUGCCCUUCGGUUUGGCAUAACUGAGAGAAAUUUCAGCCAAUACCUUAUAAUGUCUUCGGACCAAAGAUUUAUUGCCGAGGGUUGAGCCCGCGUAGGAUUAGGUAGUUGGUGGGGUAAUGGCCUACCAAGCCGACGAUCCUUAGCUGGUCUGAGAGGAUGAUCAGCCACACUGGGACUGAGACACGGCCCAGACUCCUACGGGAGGCAGCAGUGGGGAAUAUUGGAAAAUGGGCGAAAGCCUGAUCGAGCAAUGCCGCGUAAAUGAUGAAGGCCUUAGGGUUGUAAAGCUCUUUUACCCGGGAUGAUAAUGACAGUACCGUGAGAAUAAGCUCCGGCUAACUCCGUG
This 433-nucleotide ribosomal RNA is filed under the name uncultured bacterium. RNAcentral describes it as "partial 16S ribosomal RNA". It matches the Rfam family "Bacterial small subunit ribosomal RNA", at positions 29 to 507 of the family's 1533-position model. The record is from RNAcentral.